Molecule: ribosomal RNA, 253 nt
Filed under: uncultured bacterium
Lineage: Bacteria
Description: partial 16S ribosomal RNA
Rfam family: Bacterial small subunit ribosomal RNA
Source: RNAcentral
UACGUAGGGUGCAAGCGUUAAUCGGAAUUACUGGGCGUAAAGCGUGCGCAGGCGGUUGUGCAAGACAGGUGUGAAAUCCCCGGGCUUAACCUGGGAACUGCACUUGUGACUGCACGGCUGGAGUACGGUAGAGGGGGAUGGAAUUCCGCGUGUAGCAGUGAAAUGCGUAGAUAUGCGGAGGAACACCGAUGGCGAAGGCAGUCCCCUGGGCCUGUACUGACGCUCAUGCACGAAAGCGUGGGGAGCAAACAGG